Molecule: ribosomal RNA, 468 nt
Filed under: Triticum aestivum (bread wheat)
Lineage: Eukaryota; Viridiplantae; Streptophyta; Magnoliopsida; Poales; Poaceae
Description: partial small subunit ribosomal RNA
Source: RNAcentral
AUGGAAGGCCCGCGGCCGCCGCCGGCGGCCAUGCCCUCCACCUGGUACGCCGACGUGGCCGUCCCGAAGACGAAGCCCUUGGGGAAGGACGCCCGGCUCAGGCCGCCCAGCCAGUUGGGCCGGCGCGGCGACGCCCCCGCGGCCGCGGCUCCCACUCCAUGGCACGCCGCCACCAGCGCCAGCGCCAGCAGCAGCAGCAGCAGCACGCGGCUCGCCGACCUCGCGGCCAUCUCCCCCGCCAUGGCACGAGACGCAGAGCCCCUUCAGUUCGCACCCACCCACUGGCCUGCGACUGGCAGCUCGCUGCUCGCUAGUGAUGCCAGAGCAGCGGCACGCUCUUCAAGUAGUGUUUGUGGGCGCGUCCUGCCUAAUAAUUGCCGGCGCGGUGGGGCGGGGCGGGGCGGAGGGCAUCUUUUCUGGCGGUGCGCGCGCGUGGUCGAGGCUGGCGGCACGGGCGUGCUGGAGUAG